RNAcentral lists this long non-coding RNA (222 nucleotides) under Elaeis guineensis (African oil palm). Its description in RNAcentral is "long non-coding RNA (EGUI_LNC070713)". Lineage: Eukaryota; Viridiplantae; Streptophyta; Magnoliopsida; Arecales; Arecaceae. The record is from RNAcentral.
CUUUGUCAUGUGGAAUAGCCAUCAGGAGCUUAUGCCUGGGACAGCCCCCACAGGCUUAUGCAUGAAAGAAUUUGAUCUGAGAAAGAUCAUAGAUAUUUGGAUCUGAGAAAGAUCAUGGAUAUUUUGAUCCGAAAAAGAUCAUCGAUAUUUUGAUCCGAGAAAGAUCAUGAAUAUUUGAUCUGAGAAAGAUCAUGAAUGUUUGAUCCGAUAAAGAUCGUCGCA